RNAcentral lists this ribosomal RNA (483 nucleotides) under uncultured bacterium. Its description in RNAcentral is "bacterial SSU rRNA". It matches the Rfam family "Bacterial small subunit ribosomal RNA", at positions 28 to 507 of the family's 1533-position model. The record is from RNAcentral.
GAUGAACGCUAGCGGCAGGCCUAACACAUGCAAGUCGAGGGGUAACGUGAGUGCUUGCACUUGACGACGACCGGCGCACGGGUGCGGAACGCGUAUGGAACCUACCUUUAUCAGGGAGAUAGCCCAUGGAAACGUGGAUUAAUAUCCCAUAGUAUUAUUUUAUCGCCUGAUAGAAUAAUUAAAGAAUUUCGGAUAGAGAUGGCCAUGCGUAUCAUUAGCUAGUAGGCGAGGUAACGGCUCACCCAGGCGACGAUGAUUAGGGGUCCUGAGAGGGAGAUCCCCCACACUGGUACUGAGACACGGACCAGACUCCUACGGGAGGCAGCAGUGAGGAAUAUUGGGCAAUGGAGGCAACUCUGACCCAGCCAUGCCGCGUGCAGGAAGACGGCCCUACGGGUUGUAAACUGCUUUUAUUUAGGAAUAAACCCUUCUACGUGUAGAAGGCUGAAUGUACUAAACGAAUAAGCACCGGCUAACUCCGUG